UACAGAGGUGGCAAGCGUUGUUCGGAAUUACUGGGCGUAAAGGGCGCGUAGGCGGCCUACUAAGUCAGACGUGAAAUCCCUCGGCUUAACCGGGGAACUGCGUCUGAUACUGGAUGGCUUGAGUUCGGGAGAGGGAUGCGGAAUUCCAGGUGUAGCGGUGAAAUGCGUAGAUAUCUGGAGGAACACCGGUGGCGAAGGCGGCAUCCUGGACCGAUACUGACGCUGAGGAGCGAAAGCCAGGGGAGCAAACGGG
Molecule: ribosomal RNA, 253 nt
Filed under: uncultured bacterium
Lineage: Bacteria
Description: partial 16S ribosomal RNA
Rfam family: Bacterial small subunit ribosomal RNA
Source: RNAcentral